CUCGUGCUUAAGACACAAAGGGAUCCGCAUUGCUGUCCUGAUUAACACGAGCUACAAGACGCUCUGAGUCGGAGCAUUUCAAUUAAUUUAAACCGUAAAUGAAUGUUGGACAGGUUAAUAUCGAACUAUUACUUUGUGUCGUGUUUAUGUAUAACGGGAUGUUCCUGUUCUUAAUUUAAGAGGGUCAUUCAUGCUAAAUUAUACCAAAUGAGGGUCCGAGAUUACUGCGUUUGAAUUUGAACGCGAAUCCUAUUAAAACGGCUUUUAUUUGCACUGAUAAAUGAUACAGAUUCAUCCUUCAUAGGUAAGCAAACGUUUUUUUUUCUCGGUUGUGUGUACAAUACAGUGUAUACAUUUGUGUCUGCAGAGGUCUUCCGCACAUUGAGGGGCGACACGUGUUGCGCUUGAUCCCAGUCUGUUUUGAAUGGGUGUAUCUUCUCUGUUUGAGGCUGCGAGUCGGUUACGGGGACGUCCACCAGUGACGAAGACGGGUGCCGCAUCUUCCUCACCACGGAGUCAGUCGAUAAUGACGAAAAAGCACCAAAUCAUGUCCCAUCACGUUCGCAUUUCUUCUGAGCGGAUCGUAAAAUAAGGUCCUGGUACGUGGUUUCGUCUCCAGGUAAGGAAACGUGAUUUUUGUCACUAAACCAGUCAAUGAGCACACUGGGGUACAAGGCUACUUCUUGUGGAGAUUCUGGAAGAGAUGAAAGGAAAAGCAGAUGCCCCAACAUCGGAGCUCUCUCCCAGUCGGACACCAGGAGCCCUGACGCCCUCAUCCUCCCCCAUCGGCUCCAUCUCUCCGGUCGUCUCUUCUGGACGUCGGGCUCCAGGAUCUCAGGGAAGGUUCCCUCCUCCCAGCCCGGCUCAGGCCUGAGGAGUCUGGAAGAUCAGGAAGAAACUCCUCCUGGACCUCGACUCUGGGAGGUGCCCAGCGCCUGGACCCCCCCGGAGACUCGGGCUGACCAGGAGGAGCCCAGGGGUGUCAUCAGAACCACGGAACAAGGGGGAGAGAGCCUGUGGACAACACGCCUGUGUUUAUCCAGGACGGGUCACCAGAACAGCAGCUCUGGACCGGAGCAGUCGGGACUCGGUGGAGCACAGGCUGCCUUCAGGCCUGUUUAUUCCCACCAGACACAGCUCCUGCAGGAGGAACCUGACCCUGCAGGCAGGGAGAGAGAUGCUGGACGUGUCCCGCAGGUUCGCUCAUACAGGGACACAGUCUGGAAGUCCUGCUCCCUGAUGGAGUCCGUGAGAUCAGGGUGA
Molecule: long non-coding RNA, 1263 nt
Filed under: Lepisosteus oculatus (spotted gar)
Lineage: Eukaryota; Metazoa; Chordata; Actinopteri; Semionotiformes; Lepisosteidae
Description: lncRNA (ENSLOCG00000022029.1)
Source: RNAcentral